GCAGUGGUUAGUCAUUGAGGGUUGAUUUUCUGGUCAGUCUAGACGCGGUGGUCAUUUUAGGUCAGUUAUAUCUGUUGGUUCUCAUUCAACUUCUAUUUCUUAUUUUACUUGUAGACUCUCUAGUCACUAUUUGCGUGAUUGCCCUAGUCGGGGGGAGGGGGCGAUAGUUGUUUCAGCCCAAGGUGUUUCCCUUAUUAGAUAAAUCCAUCCCUUUAGUUGAGGCGGUUCUCAUGGUCCUAGGGGUGGUUUCUA
Molecule: long non-coding RNA, 252 nt
Filed under: Capsicum annuum
Lineage: Eukaryota; Viridiplantae; Streptophyta; Magnoliopsida; Solanales; Solanaceae
Description: long non-coding RNA (CANN_LNC011486)
Source: RNAcentral